Molecule: ribosomal RNA, 425 nt
Filed under: uncultured bacterium
Lineage: Bacteria
Description: partial 16S ribosomal RNA
Rfam family: Bacterial small subunit ribosomal RNA
Source: RNAcentral
GUGGGGAAUCUUGCGCAAUGGGCGAAAGCCUGACGCAGCCAUGCCGCGUGGAUGAUGAAGGUCUUAGGAUUGUAAAAUCCUUUCACCGGUGAAGAUAAUGACUGUAGCCGGAGAAGAAGCCCCGGCUAACUUCGUGCCAGCAGCCGCGGUAAUACGAAGGGGGCUAGCGUUGCUCGGAUUUACUGGGCGUAAAGGGCGCGUAGGCGGACAUUUAAGUCAGGGGUGAAAUCCCGGGGCUCAACCUCGGAACUGCCUUUGAUACUGGGUGUCUUGAGUACGAGAGAGGUGUGUGGAACUCCGAGUGUAGAGGGGAAAUUCGUAGAUAUUCGGAAGAACACCAGUGGCGAAGGCGACACACUGGCUCAUUACUGACGCUGAGGCGCGAAAGCGUGGGGAGCAAACAGGAUUAGAAACCCCGGUAGUCC